UGUAUCUUAUAGCUAAAUGAAAUGCGGGCAUGUAUUUGUUUUAAAUUCUUUUUAUUGUUUCGCUCAGAUGAGACAGCAGAGACAUGGUAGCCGAUUUCGAAAGAGUGAUACCGUAACCGCUGUGCUUUCCAUUCCCAAUGAGUCUUGCAAUAUUGUACACAUUGCCCGGGCAUCGUUCUAUUACUUGCAUGGGUUCGAAGCUUAUUUCACAUAGUUUUAAGCACUCGAAGUUGUAAUAAUUGUGCGCGACAUUUGCUUCUUUCAAGCAAUGCCAUAGUUGAUGUGUAUCAUUUUGCGACAGGUUUACUCCAUAUCUCGUCGGAUGACCACUGCUGAGCCAAAGGCGUACGGCAGUUACUGCAGCUGGGCAUCGGUGGACGUAGAUGUUACGGUCAAUCUGAGUCACGGUAUGAGGACGGUGACAUUUUCCCUGGAGUUGAUGAUCCUGUGUAAUGUCCCGC
Molecule: long non-coding RNA, 461 nt
Organism: Ornithodoros turicata
Lineage: Eukaryota; Metazoa; Arthropoda; Arachnida; Ixodida; Argasidae
Exons: 3
Source: RefSeq, a predicted model, not a curated record